CUUAGGACUAUUUUAAAUCGAUUAAGGAGGAUUUAUCGUUGAGUCCUUAAUGAGUUCGCGAUCAAAUAAUAUGCUAUUACUUGGAUGAUAGACAUAUCAAGUGUAGGUCGUUAUGUGCCAUAUAAGUUGGUUGUCUUCUUAACCAAGAAGCAUAGAGAUGCUGGUAUGACAUACAAGUAAAAUAUAAGAGUACAUUUUACUGAACG
This 206-nucleotide long non-coding RNA is filed under the name Elaeis guineensis (African oil palm). RNAcentral describes it as "long non-coding RNA (EGUI_LNC039707)". Lineage: Eukaryota; Viridiplantae; Streptophyta; Magnoliopsida; Arecales; Arecaceae. The record is from RNAcentral.